Camarhynchus parvulus is the source of this 5461-nucleotide RNA transcript. It is a transcript of the gene named glycerophosphocholine phosphodiesterase 1, with no coding region annotated. The transcript is spliced from 21 exons. NCBI's taxonomy places the organism in Eukaryota, Metazoa, Chordata, Aves, Passeriformes, Thraupidae. The record is from RefSeq and is a predicted model, not a curated record.
UGUAGGGGAGUGUGGUGGCGACGGCGGCGAGGGGCGGUCGGUGCGCGCUCCUGAGGAGGUCUUGGAGGCUGGAGGAAGUCGGGUCGCGCUGCGGUGUCGGGAGAGCACUGGGGGAGCGGCACUUCGCUCUCAGAGGAAGGUACCAGGGGGAUGGCGUGGGGAAGCGGUGGUGCUUGGCCCGCGGGAGAGGCGGGUAGGGCAGAGCUCCCUCGCUAUGCGCAGGCGGCCGCAAGCCGUCCCCGAACCCCCCGUGCCUCUCGGAGCCCCCCUGCGCCUGCCCCCGCUCCACGCUCUCCCCACGCCUCCCUCAGCCCCGCCCCGGGCCCGCGGCUGUCGAGGAACGGGCCCGCCCCCCGGCUUUUCCCGCGCUCUCAUUGGCGGCGGCGGGGAGGGCGGGGCCGCGGCCGCGGUCACGUGUUGGCGGGGGGCAGCUGGAACCGGUUGGGGCCGUGCCGCCCCCUCCCCACCCCCGGCAGGCGGCCCCGGCAGGAGGGGCGGGGAGCCCGGGCUUUGCUGUCCGCAGCCCCGCACAAAGCGAGCGGGGACCCUGAGCGCCGCUCCGCUGCGCCAGGAGAUUUCAACAAUCCCAAGACAAAACUUCUGCAGAAAUGACCUCUUGUCAAGUCACUUUUGAAGUAAGGGGGCCAUCAGGACCAGGAGAGGUUUUUGCAAUAUGUGGGAGCUGCAGUGCUUUGGGAAAUUGGAAUCCCCAGCUUGCAGUGGUCCUCCAGACUGUGGAUGAUAUAUUUGAGAAAAGAUGGAAAACUACUGUAGAGCUUCCUAGAGGAAUUCCUGUUCAGUAUCGGUAUUUUAAAGGAUACUUUCUAGAACCUAAGGUAUUUGCACGACUUGGAGGGGAAAAAAAGAGCCAAGAGACAGAGACAGAUGUGUUUUUACAGACUAUCGAUGGUCCCUGCGAAGUCAUAGUUCACACGUGGGAGACUCAUCUACAACCACGAUCAAUUACCCCUUUAGAAAAUAAAAUUACUGUCGAUGAUGGAGACUUUGGAAUCUGUAAUGGUAUUAAAACUGUGGAUGCUGGGUGGCUGACAUGUCAGACAGAAAUCAGGCUACGUCUGCAUUAUUCUGAGAAACCCCCUGUACUGAUUUCUAAGAAGAAAUUUAAAACAUCAAGGUUUAGAGUAAAAUUGACCCUAGAAGGCCUAGAGAAGGAUGAUGAUGAAGAGGGCCAAGACAAGACAUCCCCUACUGUUCCCCAGAAAAUGGCAAACACGGUGGAGUUCUCCUUGAUCAGUAACGACGACUACAAAUGUCGGCACUCUCAGCCAGACUGUGGCUAUGCCUUGCAGCCAGACCGAUGGAUAGAAUACACAAUACAAACCAUGGAGCCUGAUAACUUGGAGUUGAUAUUUGAUUUUUUUGAGGAAGAUUUAGGUGAGAAGGUAGUACAAGAUGAUGUGCUCCCAGGUCACGUAGGCUCUGCCUGCCUCCUGUCAUCCACAAUUGCAGAACUUGGAAAGAGUGCUGGAGUUCUUACACUUGCCAUUAUGAGCAGAAAUCCAAGGAAGACAAUUGGAAAAGUUAGAGUGGACUACAUAAUUAUCAAACCUAUCCAGGGAUACACUUGUGAUAUGCAGGCUUCAUAUGCAAAGUACUGGAAACCAAGAACAACUCUGGAUGUUGGACACAGGGGAGCAGGGAAUUCAACAACAACCACUAAGCUUGCUAAAGUUCAAGAGAACACCAUUGCAUCCCUCAGGAGUGCUGCUAGUCACGGAGCAGCAUUUGUGGAAUUUGAUGUACAUCUUUCUAAAGAUCAUGUGCCUAUAGUAUACCACGAUCUCACAUGUUGCAUGGCCAUGAAAAAGAAACUGGAUACGGAGCCUUUGGAGCUGUUUGAGAUUGCAGUCAAAGAACUCACAUUUGAUCAGCUGCAGUUGUUAAAGCUGGCUCACGUGACGGCCCUGAAAGUAAAAGAUCACAAUGCAUCUUUUAACGAGGAAGAGAACUCUGCUUUUGAGAUGCAGCCAUUUCCUUCUCUGCAAAGAGUCCUGGAGUCUGUUCCUAAUGAUGUUGGGUUCGACAUAGAAAUAAAAUGGAUCUCCCAACAAAGGGAUGGACAAUGGGAUGGCAACUUGUCAACUUACUUUGAUAUGAACCUUUUUCUAGAUAUUAUUCUGAAAACUGUUUUGAUGAAUGCUGGACGAAGAAGAAUUGUGUUUUCUUCUUUUCAUGCAGAUAUUUGUACAAUGAUCCGACAUAAGCAAAACAAGUAUCCUGUGUUAUUUCUCACCCAAGGGGAAUCUAAACUCUAUCCAGAGCUCAUGGAUCUCAGAUCUCGCACGACUCCAAUUGCCAUUAAUUUUGCACAGUUUGAAAACUUGCUGGGAAUUAGUGUGCAUUCAGAAGACCUGCUGAGGAAUCCAGCAUUUAUUACACUGGCCAUAUCCAAAGGCCUGGUUAUUUUUUCAUGGGGUGAUGAUACAAACGACCCGGAUAACAGGAAGAAGUUGAGAGAAUAUGGUGUUCAUGGGUUAAUAUAUGACAGGUACUUAGUUGUGGCUUUUUAAAAGAAUGAUUAUAAUCACCACCAUCAUGAAGCUUAGAAACUAUUGUAAAUUGGUUCUGAUGAAAUUUCAUUUUGCUUCUUGGUUGACUGGGUGCAGAAAGUACAAGGACCCCAUAAACCCGGAUCAAGAAUAAGUCUAACACCAGUUCCCACUCUUUCAGCUGUAUCUAUGAAGCAAAAUAACUUUUGUUUUUCCUGAGAUCAACAUAAAUGUAAUUAGAUCCUUUAAAGAACAAGUGUAUGGCAUACACGUUUAAGGUGCUACUAAUAUUCAUGAUAGUAAUUUUUAGGUUAUGCAAACGUGUUACAGCGAGGAAAACGUCAUUUAAUUGUUUGACUGGAAGUUUCAGUAUUCUACACUGAGCUGUGGAAAUAGUUAACACAACAUUCUCUUGUGUUUCAAAGCUGUGAAUUCACAUUUUUCCUAUUAAAAUUAGCUUGGAGUGACUCCAGGGCAAACUGCCAAAUUAGUAAUUUCAGAAAGUAGCUGUUACAUCAAAAAAUUCAGGUAGAAACAUCAGAAUACUGUGUUAAAUAUUUUAACAAAAGUAUUGUUGUGUUAUUUGGUUGCUUACAGCAACCCAAAGUUUUAGGUCUUUUGUCUUUGAAGAUGAGAAAUUCAUCAUUAUGAGGUGAAGUUUAAUUUGAAAACUUGUAUUAUAGAAUUUCUAAUAGAAAGUAAUUGGGAAAGAAGGCUUUCAAACCUUCUGCUUUAGCAAGAGUAUUGCUUCGUAUAUUGUUUUACCUACCAAAAAAACCCCAAAAAACCCAAAACAAAACAAAAAACCCCCAAAACAACAACAAAAAAACAAAACAAAACAAAAAAAAAACGCAAAAAAAAACCCCAACCAAAGGAAGAGGAAUCAAUAAUUGUCAAAGGCUCUGUUUUAUAAAGUGAAAACUGAGAGCCAAUUUAAUCAGCUCUAGGGGCAGGAAAUCAAAUAUGUUUCCUCCUAGGGUUCUAGGCUCUCAGUAUAAAAAAAUUAGUUAACUCUUUUCAAUCUGUUGUUGACUGCUGAGAGUCCUUUCAAGGUCCAUUGCUUCUCAGGUUUGCCAGAGGUGCCCCUUCUUGUGCUGUACAGAAUGUCUCCCAUUCACUGGCAGUAAAAAAAGGAAUAACUAGGUUUUUACACUGGGGAUCAGCUUCAGACUGAGGAUAUGGACACAUAAGUCCUCUUUACUGCUACAGCAGUGCUCUGUGUUGCACCUCUGCUGCAGCUCAGGAUUGGGGCCCCUUUAGUCAAUGAAAAAUACCUCUGGACUAGAAUGCAGGUGAAAGAAUCCUCUAACUACUUAGUGUGCAAUCAUAGGGUAAUGAAAUUUUAUUCUGUGGUAUGUGUAAGUUAAAGUGAUAUAUUAUUGCUGGGGUGUUUUAAUCAAACUCCACUGCAUAAAGUGUUUGUGAAAUGUCUCUUCACCUCUACUAAUCCAGUCUUCCAGAGUUGUUAAUUACUCUCUGUGCAGUAGAUAUUCACUACUGUGGUAAAACAGUAAAGCAGGGACCAGCCUAACUUCUGACUUCAUGUUGCUUUUAUUGCUUUAGAUACUCCAUGCUACUUGGAGUUGUGGCAUUUAUGUUGAGGCUGCAAGUCGGCUACUCGUCACCUUAUGUGUCCUGUUGCACUGUUUGGUGUGUUUUAAGUUGUACUAGGACACUAGAACACCUUUUAUCUCACUUUCUGAUAACCAGCCAAUUCGUUGGAAGGCUGAAUUCCCUUGUGGAUUUAACUGAACAAAAAUUUCUUAUACCUUCCUUCACUGUUUAGAUGAUCUGGAUUCUUAAUAGUGUUCAUCUCUCCUCUUGUUGCCUGCCUCCUCUAUCAUUUCCACUUCAACAUCUUGCCAUUUUUUUGGAGAGGAACCCCAAAAUUAGUAUUAACUCCAAAGCUGUUAUUGCAGGCUUGUUAAGUGUAAUUUCUAAAUGUAAUUUCCCUUCUUUUUUCUGUAGGCCAAAACAAACAAUGGUAUGUCCCUUUGCAAUUCUUAAUUACUUUUCAAGUUUUACUAAUUGUGUGAGUAAAAUUAAAUUCACUCUUAAUGCAGGUUAGGGAUAUGACAGUUUCUGAAAGUUGCAUCAGAAGUCUCAAGGUGGACAUUUUGAAAUGCAGGUGGUACCUGCAAGUUCUGAGAAUGUAGGGAUGUAAAACCUGGCAGCAAACAUUCCCACUCACAGCUGGAGCUGCUGGGUAAAGAGCCAGUCUUUCAGAUCACUUGAGACUUGAAGUUGAUAUUUAGAGUUUAAAUAGGUAUGGUGUCAGCAUCCAUAUCCUGUGCUGUUUGGAGUUUAGAAAUAAAUAAAUGUAAAACUACAUUUAAAAAGCAGACCUCGAGAGAGAGAGGUGUACAUGACUGUUCCAAGGUGUAAGUAAUAAGUAGGGACUGCAGUAAUCUGUUUUAGUAUAAAGCCAGCUCAUGCAGCUGUUGUGUCUUCAAAUUCCAGAAUAUUUCCAGGGCUGAAUUAAGAUGGUGCUUCUUCCAUGGUUUCUGUAUUUUUGUCCUCUGGAUUUAUGGCCAAGUCCAGAUAUCUAUCAAAUAUAGUAUUUUGUGUUGCUGUUUCCUAGGCCUUUACUUACACCAUGUUAAGUGCUAAUUAUCUGAAUGAUCUAGGAAGUGAAUAGAGGAAUUGUAGUGAAUUUUAGGCUGCUUGUAUGUGGCCCUGAGUUACUGUGUGCAGUAGUUAUUUCUGAGAUUAUGAACUGUAUGCAUAGAGAUUAUUUCUGUAAGCUAUUUUUUUCCAAACUUUAAUCAUCCAUGUAGAAUUGACCAAAACACUGUAGCCAGUUGUGAAGAUGGCAGAAAAACUGUGUCCUGAAUACCAAAAGUUGAUGAUACCAAGCUCUGGGAAAAAAAAAUGCAGGAUAUAUGACUCAAAUCCUGAACAACCAAAUAUAUUCCAGGUGGAGCAGCUGGAACGUCUCAAGAGAGAGCUGC